UUGAACGCUAGCGGGAUGCUUUACACCUGCCAGUCGCACGGCAGCGCGGACUUCGGUCUGGCGGCGAGUGGCGAACGGGUGAGUAAUGUAUCGGAACGUGCCCAGUAGCGGGGGAUAACUACGCGAAAGCGUAGCUAAUACCGCAUACGCCCUACGGGGGAAAGCAGGGGAUCGUAAGACCUUGCACUCUUGGAGCGGCCGAUAUCGGAUUAGCUAGUUGGUGAGGUAACGGCUCACCAAGGCGACGAUCCGUAGCUGGUUUGAGAGGACGACCAGCCACACUGGGACUGAGACACGGCCCAGACUCCUACGGGAGGCAGCAGUGGGGAAUUUUGGACAAUGGGGGCAACCCUGAUCCAGCCAUCCCGCGUGUGCGAUGAAGGCCUUCGGGUUGUAAAGCACUUUUGGCAGGAAAGAAACGUCGCGGGCUAAUACCCCGUGGAACUGACGGUACCUGCAGAAUAAGCACCGGCUAACUACGUG
Molecule: ribosomal RNA, 483 nt
Filed under: uncultured bacterium
Lineage: Bacteria
Description: partial 16S ribosomal RNA
Rfam family: Bacterial small subunit ribosomal RNA
Source: RNAcentral